RNAcentral lists this long non-coding RNA (312 nucleotides) under Pan troglodytes (chimpanzee). Its description in RNAcentral is "lncRNA (ENSPTRG00000054289.1)". Lineage: Eukaryota; Metazoa; Chordata; Mammalia; Primates; Hominidae. The record is from RNAcentral.
CCUUAGUAUUCGUUUUGGUUUUCUUAAACAGCUUGUACUUUUUGUUUCUUUCUUGUGUUGCAGGACUGAUUCCUUAUCCAACAUCACUUUCUGGACUACCUAGAAUCCAACUAUCAUGUAAAUGAUUAUUACUCUUCAAGAAGAAAUCCACUAACAGCAUCCUUUUCAGAAAGUGAAUCCAAGCACCUUGGAGAUAAGAAGAGAGAAGAGAAAGGGAGCUCCCAGUAGAAGAACGGUCCUGAAAAAAAAAAAUUAUAGCCCCAAACCUACAUACCAUAUUCAGCCAAAUAAAAGUCUUAUAAGUGUCAAAAU